RNAcentral lists this ribosomal RNA (2933 nucleotides) under Salmonella enterica subsp. enterica. RNAcentral describes it as "bacterial LSU rRNA". It matches the Rfam family "Bacterial large subunit ribosomal RNA". Lineage: Bacteria; Pseudomonadati; Pseudomonadota; Gammaproteobacteria; Enterobacterales; Enterobacteriaceae. The record is from RNAcentral. RNAcentral also lists the same sequence under 1 other name.
GGGUUGUGAGGUUAAGCGACCAAGCGUACACGGUGGAUGCCCUGGCAGUCAGAGGCGAUGAAGGACGUGCUAAUCUGCGAAAAGCGCCGGUAAGGUGAUAUGAACCGUUAUAACCGGCGAUGUCCGAAUGGGGAAACCCAGUGUGACUCGUCACACUAUCAUUAACUGAAUCCAUAGGUUAAUGAGGCGAACCGGGGGAACUGAAACAUCUAAGUACCCCGAGGAAAAGAAAUCAACCGAGAUUCCCCCAGUAGCGGCGAGCGAACGGGGAGGAGCCCAGAGCCUGAAUCAGCAUGUGUGUUAGUGGAAGCGUCUGGAAAGGCGCGCGAUACAGGGUGAGAGCCCCGUACACAAAAGCGCAUAUGCUGUGAGCUCGAUGAGUAGGGCGGGACACGUGGUAUCCUGUCUGAAUAUGGGGGGACCAUCCUCCAAGGCUAAAUACUCCUGACUGACCGAUAGUGAACCAGUACCGUGAGGGAAAGGCGAAAAGAACCCCGGCGAGGGGAGUGAAACAGAACCUGAAACCGUGUACGUACAAGCAGUGGGAGCCUCUCUUUAUGGGGGGUGACUGCGUACCUUUUGUAUAAUGGGUCAGCGACUUAUAUUCUGUAGCAAGGUUAACCGCAUAGGGGAGCCGAAGGGAAACCGAGUCUUAAUUGGGCGUUAAGUUGCAGGGUAUAGACCCGAAACCCGGUGAUCUAGCCAUGGGCAGGUUGAAGGUUGGGUAACACUAACUGGAGGACCGAACCGACUAAUGUUGAAAAAUUAGCGGAUGACCUGUGGCUGGGGGUGAAAGGCCAAUCAAACCGGGAGAUAGCUGGUUCUCCCCGAAAGCUAUUUAGGUAGCGCCUCGUGAAUUCAUCUCCGGGGGUAGAGCACUGUUUCGGCUAGGGGGCCAUCCCGGCUUACCAACCCGAUGCAAACUGCGAAUACCGGAGAAUGUUAUCACGGGAGACACACGGCGGGUGCUAACGUCCGUCGUGAAGAGGGAAACAACCCAGACCGCCAGCUAAGGUCCCAAAGUCAUGGUUAAGUGGGAAACGAUGUGGGAAGGCCCAGACAGCCAGGAUGUUGGCUUAGAAGCAGCCAUCAUUUAAAGAAAGCGUAAUAGCUCACUGGUCGAGUCGGCCUGCGCGGAAGAUGUAACGGGGCUAAACCAUGCACCGAAGCUGCGGCAGCGACACUUUAGUGUUGUUGGGUAGGGGAGCGUUCUGUAAGCCGUUGAAGGUGUCCUGUGAGGGGUGCUGGAGGUAUCAGAAGUGCGAAUGCUGACAUAAGUAACGAUAAAGCGGGUGAAAAGCCCGCUCGCCGGAAGACCAAGGGUUCCUGUCCAACGUUAAUCGGGGCAGGGUGAGUCGACCCCUAAGGCGAGGCCGAAAGGCGUAGUCGAUGGGAAACGGGUUAAUAUUCCCGUACUUGGUGUUACUGCGAAGGGGGGACGGAGAAGGCUAUGUUGGCCGGGCGACGGUAGUCCCGGUUUAAGCGUGUAGGCUGGUUUUCCAGGCAAAUCCGGAAAAUCAAGGCUGAGGCGUGAUGACGAGGCACCACGGUGCUGAAGCAACAAAUGCCCUGCUUCCAGGAAAAGCCUCUAAGCAUCAGGUAACAUCAAAUCGUACCCCAAACCGACACAGGUGGUCAGGUAGAGAAUACCAAGGCGCUUGAGAGAACUCGGGUGAAGGAACUAGGCAAAAUGGUGCCGUAACUUCGGGAGAAGGCACGCUGACACGUAGGUGAAGUGAUUUACUCACGGAGCUGAAGUCAGUCGAAGAUACCAGCUGGCUGCAACUGUUUAUUAAAAACACAGCACUGUGCAAACACGAAAGUGGACGUAUACGGUGUGACGCCUGCCCGGUGCCGGAAGGUUAAUUGAUGGGGUCAGCGCAAGCGAAGCUCCUGAUCGAAGCCCCGGUAAACGGCGGCCGUAACUAUAACGGUCCUAAGGUAGCGAAAUUCCUUGUCGGGUAAGUUCCGACCUGCACGAAUGGCGUAAUGAUGGCCAGGCUGUCUCCACCCGAGACUCAGUGAAAUUGAACUCGCUGUGAAGAUGCAGUGUACCCGCGGCAAGACGGAAAGACCCCGUGAACCUUUACUAUAGCUUGACACUGAACAUUGAGCCUUGAUGUGUAGGAUAGGUGGGAGGCUUUGAAGCGUGGACGCCAGUCUGCGUGGAGCCGACCUUGAAAUACCACCCUUUAAUGUUUGAUGUUCUAACGUGGACCCGUAAUCCGGGUUGCGGACAGUGUCUGGUGGGUAGUUUGACUGGGGCGGUCUCCUCCUAAAGAGUAACGGAGGAGCACGAAGGUUGGCUAAUCCUGGUCGGACAUCAGGAGGUUAGUGCAAUGGCAUAAGCCAGCUUGACUGCGAGCGUGACGGCGCGAGCAGGUGCGAAAGCAGGUCAUAGUGAUCCGGUGGUUCUGAAUGGAAGGGCCAUCGCUCAACGGAUAAAAGGUACUCCGGGGAUAACAGGCUGAUACCGCCCAAGAGUUCAUAUCGACGGCGGUGUUUGGCACCUCGAUGUCGGCUCAUCACAUCCUGGGGCUGAAGUAGGUCCCAAGGGUAUGGCUGUUCGCCAUUUAAAGUGGUACGCGAGCUGGGUUUAGAACGUCGUGAGACAGUUCGGUCCCUAUCUGCCGUGGGCGCUGGAAGACUGAGGGGGGCUGCUCCUAGUACGAGAGGACCGGAGUGGACGCAUCACUGGUGUUCGGGUUGUCAUGCCAAUGGCACUGCCCGGUAGCUAAAUGCGGAAAAGAUAAGUGCUGAAAGCAUCUAAGCACGAAACUUGCCCCGAGAUGAGUCUUCCCUGAGACUUUGAGUCUCCUGAAGGAACGUUAAAGACGAUGACGUUGAUAGGCCGGGUGUGUAAGCGCAGCGAUGCGUUGAGCUAACCGGUACUAAUGAACCGUGAGGCUUAACCUUACAACGCCGAAGCUGUU